AUUGAACGCUGGCGGCAGGCCUAACACAUGCAAGUCGAACGGUAACAGAAAGCAGCUUGCUGCUUUGCUGACGAGUGGCGGACGGGUGAGUAAUGUCUGGGAAACUGCCUGAUGGAGGGGGAUAACUACUGGAAACGGUAGCUAAUACCGCAUAACGUCGCAAGACCAAAGAGGGGGACCUUCGGGCCUCUUGCCAUCGGAUGUGCCCAGAUGGGAUUAGCUAGUAGGUGGGGUAAAGGCUCACCUAGGCGACGAUCCCUAGCUGGUCUGAGAGGAUGACCAGCCACACUGGAACUGAGACACGGUCCAGACUCCUACGGGAGGCAGCAGUGGGGAAUAUUGCACAAUGGGCGCAAGCCUGAUGCGGCCAUGCCGCGUGUAUGAAGAAGGCCUUCGGGUUGUAAAGUACUUUCAGCGGGGAGGAAGGGAGUAAAGUUAAUACCUUUGCUCAUUGACGUUACCCACAGAAGAAGCACCGGCUAACUCCGUG
RNAcentral lists this ribosomal RNA (490 nucleotides) under uncultured bacterium. RNAcentral's name for it is "partial 16S ribosomal RNA". It matches the Rfam family "Bacterial small subunit ribosomal RNA", at positions 30 to 507 of the family's 1533-position model. The record is from RNAcentral.